Molecule: non-coding RNA, 7392 nt
Organism: Xyrichtys novacula (pearly razorfish)
Lineage: Eukaryota; Metazoa; Chordata; Actinopteri; Labriformes; Labridae
Source: the annotation of a GenBank genome assembly
CCUUCAGAGUUGUUGGAAAACCUUUAGUUUCCUUUCAAAAUCUACAUUUUCUAUGUCAGACUAUACAAGAAAAUACUCCCCCAAACGUAGGCCAUGGAUUACAAACAAGAUUUUUAAAGUUGCUUACACAUUUUUUUUUUUUCCAAUUUCAAAUUAGGAUGCAAAAAUGAGUACACCCCAAUCAAAGUUCUGGGAGCAAAGCUAAAUUUUAGUUACCAUAUCACCCUGAUUUUCAUCUUAUGGUAAAUAAAAUGUUAUGUUAAACUUUGGAAAUUGUACUUUUGCUCAUCAAGAUAUUGAGAAAUACAUUACUUUUAAUAGGGGGUGUACUGACUUACGGUGGGCACUGUAUAUUCUGUAGAAUUUAGCUGCAUUUUUUCCAAAGAAUUGGAAUCUAUGAUACAGAAAGUGUUUCCGCUAUUGUUAUUUCUGUGUGGCGCAUCUUUUACAUCCAAAAAUUCGGACAUCCUUUUACUUUUCAAAAGUUCGUUUUGUGGCUGUUUAGGUAACAUUGGCUCACAAAUAUGCAGCAACCUGCAGAAGUGCUAAAAACUGCAGUUCCACAAGUACCCACUUGGGGUUGUUUGCAGAAGAAAAUUGAGAGGGCUGCAGACCUCCACUGAGAUGACCAGAGGUGACCUUUUUUCUCACGCACUCCAGUUUGUUUGAAGUGAUCAUCCUGUUUUGUAUUUUCUCUUUGUUGAACACAUAAAUACAUAAAAUAAAGCCCCAAGAAAAAAAAUUAUAAUCAGAAGACACAAAAAACAUGCACUUCUGGUGUAAUUGCUUUUUAUUUGAAAGGCUCCGACUCAACUUCAGGCGUGAAAAAAAAAAAAAUGUAUUCCCUGUAUAUUUGCUUUUAUUUUGAAAGGCUUCAAACCAUUUCCAGGCCACUCGGUGGAGGUGGGUCCUCUCAGUGGAGGUCUGCAGCUAGACUGUCUUAGGAAAAUUAGAGGUCUGGCUAACUGGACUGACAGAAGUGCUCACUGUCACCAUUUGUGAGGAGGCUAAAGGCUCACCUCUGGAGGGUUUACGAAUGUUAAAUUUAGUCACUAUUACCAGUAUGGUGAGCGCUUCAGAUUGACUCUGAAACGAGUGACAUCCCUGACACUGUCCAGUUAUUACACCGUCUUAUGGUCAUGUGAAGAUUAACCAUUUUAUAUUCUCAAACUCAGGAAUCAAGUCAUGUUGAUUUGAAAUAAAAGGCAGAAACUUUUCCUAAAGUCUGCCUGUCUCUAGACUUUGCAGAAAAGGAGAUCUGUCCAUCAACUAUAAGGUUACUUUGACCUGAUAAGACCUCAUGAUGGAACCUGUGCUCUGCAUUAGCAAGCAGCAGCAUGAGCGUCGUCUUGAUGUCGAAGGUCAUCUGAAUUUCAAAUAAACUUAUAUUUUGAACUCUUGUUUCAACAUUUGAUAUGUCUUCUUUGUGCUUAAAAAAUACAAAGUAAAACAAUAAGAAAAGAAAGAAAGGGUCAUAAACACAAAGUGUUGAAACAAUUACACGUUAAGAAUGAGGAGCAUUUAAAAAAGAGAUUUUGAAAUGUUGGAGGACUUCAUAUCAGAGCACAUUGCUCUAAAGUGUGUAGGCUUAAUCAGCUGCAGGCAGGUCUCUCCAUCACAAACUGUUAUAUUGGUAUAAAAAUUGAUUUGAAAUGAACGAACAUGGAGCUGGCGUUGGAAGGCAAGCACAGGGGUAAUAAUAUCGCUCUCUCGGUAAUGAGUAAGGCUGCAGCAUUGCUUCCAUGAAAAAGGAAAAAAAUAUCAAAGGGUACAUUUUAACAAGCCAGAGAAAUAUAUUUAAUAAUUAUCAAUAAUGAAGGAGGUAUUUUAAUUUUAUUUGGUGACCUGCCUGCUAGGCUUUGACUCACAAACGUUACAGGUUUACAAGUCUUUGGAUUUAUAGAGUAAUUUCACUCCAUUUUUCUCUCAGGGAGAAAAGGAGGGCUGCUGUUUAACCUACACGGUAACGUUUAACGAAAAGUUAUUGAAAGACAAAGUACUUUGUUCACACACACUUGAGGAUCCAGCUUGACUGUUAAGCAAACACUAUCGGCUUUAUUUGCCAACUUGACUUCGAAGGCUGUUCAUCUUCAGGCACUUUGGAAGCUUAAUUAAUUUACCAGCAUUAGCUCUGUCUGAUAAUAACAGCUUAAGAUUAUUUGAUUUGUAAGUGAAGCAGUCAGGGGGUUUUGAGUAUUAAUAAGCCUAAUUAAACUUCACUUAAAUGGCCUGAUCUGAUGAUUUUUUUUGCACAAAUUUAAAUCGUCCAUAGACGUGAAGUUGAAAAGUGAAGUGAGGACACUCUUUGAACAUGAGAAGUAUUUUCUUAAGUUAGAGCUAUGGUCUGAUGUGGUUGCGUUUGUCUGUCUGCUUGAGGUUUUGAAGGAAGACACCAGCUGUUUGUGCUGCCCAGAAUUUGUCCUGCCUGCAGAGACAGCCUUCAAGCUGUCCUCUUAUUUAUUAAAAGAUUAGUUCGGGCAGCAUCAAAACAUGUUAAAGGUGGACUUAAAGGUCCAAACUGUAUUAAAAAGAAUACAAAUAUAGUCAAAUUUGACAUGAGAACAGCAACACACAAAGGUGAUCAAUGAAAUAAUUGAAACACAUUUGGACAGGUGUUUCACUAACUCAGGAAAAAAGAAGAAGCAAGCCUUCUGCUGCUGUGUGUGGGCUCAAUGAGGAACAUCAUGACUACACCUUAACUCCGGUAAUUGACGUAAACUUGGAGAUAAUGAAUUCCUUAACAGAGCUGAGGUUGUGGGAGCUUUUACAAACUGAAACAUAUGGCUUGAACUUCUCCAUCUGUGGAGCUAAACAAGACUCUAAACGCACCAUUUAAUCCCACUCAAAGUUUCGUGUUUCUAUAGCUACGAUUCAAUGAGCCUGUGUCGAGCAAGAGGCUGGCACUCAUCUAGAAUAUGUAAUUGACCAUAUGGUUAGCAAAAAUGAUGAUGAUGGACGGUUGUUCCAGAGUCGAGGGGCUCUGAUGAAAAAAGCAUGACUUAAGGUCCUUAAACACCGGGAAUGACACAAAUAUACAAGGCACGAAAUUACGAAAAUAUUCAGAGGCGAAUUUUGACUACACACAUCAAGCGCGAUGUGAUUUUGCGACUUUCCGGGGGCAAAAAAGAUGCGUCAUGGGUGGAAGCGAGAAGACUGACACAACACCAGACUGACUGUUUUUCAGUUCUGAUUAGACACUAGUGUUGAGAUGACUGUCUGUCAUGACAGCAUGUACUGAGUCGGGCCAGUACCAGAUAAGUAAAUUAAACUAUAAUCCAUAAACGUAAGGUAACAACCGAGCUCUAAUGGUGCUGUGACAGCAACACGAUUGAGUUUGAGACAGUGAAAUUACAUAUGGUAUGUUGUAUCUGAACAGGUUAGCUUACGAGCUAAAGUUACUUAGCACAGAUGAAAGUUAAAACAAAGACGUUUAGCAAACUGUUAAAGCACACAAACUAUCGUCAUAUGAGAAAUCCGACAUUAUGACUCUCCACAAGUUGUCCUUCAGGUCAUUAUCUUUGUAAUGUUUGUGUCUUUUAUCAAAAAGCACUCUGUUCUCCGACACGUUAACAACCAGCCAGUCGGCCAUGUUGGAUAUACCGGUGAAUCUGACGUCACAACAACACGCAAUCUGAUUGGUCAGAAGUGGACACACAGUUUGCGAAACUUUAGAAAAAUCGACUGUGAUACGAAAAAAAAUAAAUGCCGCAAUAUCGCAGGACGGGAAAAAGUCGCUGAUGUGAACGCUUGUAUUGACAGGAUAUGGGUUCGAAAAAAAAUAUUGACGUCCGAAAUAAUCGCACGAAAAAAACGCUCCCAGUGUGAAAAGACCUUUACUUUGGAUUUGAGCUUCCAUGUUGGACUGACCAGCAAGGUUUCACCUGAGGAUCUCAUACUGCAGGACGACUCAUAUGGUGUCAUCAUUUUUAUGAUGUAAUUAGGGACAAGACUCAGAUGAUCUUUAAAAAUGAUCAGUAAAAUCUUAAAAUCAAUUCUGAAACACACAGGGAGCCAGUGGAGGGAGGCAAGGACAGGAGUGAUGUGAUGUGACAAGUUGGAGGCGAGAGUGCUCUGACACAAGUGACCUGUGCUCUUUGAGUAACAUACUUGACAGAGCAGGAAUUGAAAUCAGUCAAAAAAAAAAAAAAAGAAAUUAAAAUACAUGCAUAGACACAAACACUUCAGUGUGUCACUGAGUUUUUUUUCUUUUGAAGGACAGUUGCAUUUACCUUUUCAGAGAGCUUUGAAAGCUCCCUUCAAAGGGAAAGUUGAUGACAAAUUGACCUUCAGUUGCUAAAAAUAAAUAUCAUCAUCAAUCAUGAUUUUGUGUAGCUGCAAAACAAGAAAAAAAAGGAAAGAAAAAAGCUGUCAAACCUUAACUACCCUGAAAGGUAACUCUUAUACAAAGGUUCGAGGUGUCUUAAAGCUGCACUGUGUAAUGAGGACAUUUAGUGACAUCUAGCAGUGAGAUUUUAAAAAAUGGAACAUCUACUCAUUCCGUCACCGCGGUAACAGUGAGAACAUUCAUUUCAUUUCAUAUAUUUUAAUUGAACAUAAAGUGGGAACUGAGAUAUCCAUUAUAAGUUUUUAAUUGUUUUAGUAACACAAGCUGAUAUAAGCAAACUAAUGCAAACCAAAACCAACAUUUCUUGAUGACAACGGAGUAUGAAAGGACUGUAUAAAAAAUAAGUGUUAUAAAGUCACUUUCCUAACAAAAUAAAGUCAAAGUAAAAUAAUUUCCCUACAAGAAUAAAGUCACAGUAAGGUUAUGUCAUGAGAAUAACAUAACCCCACAACCAAUCCAAUUCAAUCCGUUUCAUUUACAUAGCAUGAUUGAAGCAAACACAAGAUUUCCAAAGCGCUGCACAGCAAGAUAAAGAUACACUACAUAACAAUAGUACAAUGGAUAAGAUAAAAAAUGAAAUGAGAUAAAACACAGUAAUAAAGUCAUAAAGUAAAAGUAAAGUAAAAAAAAGUAAAGUCAACAUAUCAUGACAAUAAAGUCUUCAUAAAGUUAUAGUUUUGGUUUAUGGUGAGCAGCCAGACGUCUGUGCCAAAGUGGGGAUCAAGUGUUUCUAAUGUUUUGGCAUCUAAGCACCACAUUGCUAUGAGGACUCUGAGAGGACUGUGUAAAAAGCUAAGAUAUGUGUUAGCCCCCUUUAAAACAGCAUUAUGAGCCUUGUCACCCCAGAAUCCCACUCUCACGCCAGAAUCUUACCUUCCCCCUCAAGCCCCUUCUUCUGCCCCCUUCCCACUUUCCCCCUUUUGUGGGUUUUCACCAGGUCGCUCUGGUUUCUCCACAAAUCUAAUAACCAAAAGCAAAUGAAAACUGAACUGUAAAAGUAAAUCUAAAUUUGGCUUUUAAAACUGUCACUUGUGUUGCAAAGAUAGAGGGGAAAAAAAAAUAAUGAGUAACUGGAACAUCAUCACCUUAUAGCUGACUCUUAUCAUUCUAAUGAAACAUAAACAGUUUGUUUGACAGCCAAACAAACUGAGAUUGUUCAGGCUUAAUUUUCAAAUAAGCUAAUAAAGGUUCUCUCACCCGUCCAGCAGAAAACUGACAAUUUCAUUGUUCAUCUUUAAGCAUAAGGAUUUUCCAUCUUUUAAAGGUAACACUAAUGUUAACCCUUAGUUUCUGCUCACCCCCUUCCAGUUUUGUUUCACUUUGUCAUGUUUUGAUUUUUUGGACUUAAACUCUAAUUCAAUCCUAUUCUCUAUGCAAUGUACCUUUAAAUUGAAACCCAGACCAAACUUCAGAUCCAUCAAUAUUUUACAGUUUAUUAUAAUAAUUCCAUCCUAAUCAUGUUGAAUUAUUUAUGGUCAGUGAAUUUCAGCAUGAGAAAAUAUCAUUUUGAAAGACAGCAUAUAUUUAAUGGGAUCAAGAAGAAGUAUAUUUCAGUGCUCAGGUUCUCUGUUUUUCUGUCUUGAGCACAUACUGAGCAGCAGCUGGGCCCACACAGAGUUAUCAAUACAGCUCCCUGUCGGUAACGCAUAUAACACAGCCUGCAGGUGACAAGAAGAACCCCCCCAAGCAGCCAAACAGCAGCAGUGCAGUAUCAACAGAAAGCAUCAACAGGCUAACAAGACAGUGCAGUGCAAGGCAGAGAUUAAAUAUUAAAUAUCAGCAUGAUGGCUGUCUGCCCCCAAAAGAUUCACUCAGUUCACCUCAGAAAACUUUAGAAAUAACAGAAGUUUGUUUAAAAAAAUAAAAAACAGCUCAAAUGUGAUUCACUUUGGUUGCCAAUGUUCCUGCGAUGCUUUCCAGAGCAGCAGGGGGAAAUGAGGACAGAGAGUGAUCCAUGCAAACCAACAAAACUACACCAAAGGUACAGAGCAAUAUGUUGAUGUGGCUGAGACUGUACUAAGGCUCCUAUAACACAAUCAUCUGAUUUAAAUAUUUAAAAGUCUGUUUGCAUUUAUGUACUUAUGGCUAUCUAUCUGAAUCCGAACUGCUGGGGCUCCUUUUCUCUUGAUAUUCUGACACUACAGCCACUUCAGAUCCACCGCAGCAGCUCCUGAGCUCCUUUGCCCACCCCACGCUGAGCUCAAUAACCAGUGCGAGCACUUCCUCACGCCUCUUCAGCCCUUGACUGUAGUGCUGCACACUAAACACUCUUUGAGCUGAACUGGUGAUCAAAGUCAACAGAACAAGAGUAUAUCACAACUACCAUCAGCCAUAGUGGUGACUGAAACGUUGGAAGUGUCUCCAAGAUAUGAUAAACAUUAAAGCAGUCGUAGCUGGAGUUCGUUAAGGAAUUCAAAAUUACCUGAAAGCACAGCUGUGACCAACUUUUAACCCUCCUCCUGUGUUAGGGUCUGCACCGACCCGUUUUUGAGACUUUUUGACUCUGUCAGGAACCUCUAUUUCAACAAAAUUUAAAUUUAAAAAAAUUAAAAAAAAAUUGACUAAAUUAUUAAAUGCUGCUAUUAAAAUUAUGGCACUUUUCGUGUUAGGGUCGCUGUUGACCCGGUUAGAUCAAUAUCUAAUAAUCAGAGCAAAAACUGAAAUCAUAAGUGCACUUACAGUCAGAUCCCCUUUCGAUCAUGUGAGAUUUAGGAAAUUCUCAUUUUUGCCAUGUCUUUCCCAGCACAAAAAACAACAUUGGGCAUGUCCAGACAUGUGAGAUCAAUUUAGUAUAGAUGUCUGUGUGAGGGAUAUACUGACAAAGAUAGGCUCAGAGGACCACUACAAAAAAUAUUAUAACCAAUAUUUUCAUGGAUAAUGACGCCUAACAAGGUAACCUAGAGAUGAGAACCAAAUUGGAUGAUAGAAAUUUGUUUUUAGUGUAAUUUACAGCUGAUUUAAGACACGGGUUAAACCAACCCUUAAUAUGGUGGGUGUGUAGUAAAAGCUAACACAGGAGGAAGGUUAAGUCAAGAACAAGGCAGCAA